ACGAGAAUAUUCGACAAUGGGCGAAAGCCUGAUCGAGCGACGCCGCGUGGAGGAUGAAGUCCUUCGGGAUGUAAACUCCUUUUGCCAGGGAAAAAGUUAUUGAUUGUACCUGGAGAAUAAGAGGUUGCUAAACUCGUGCCAGCAGCAGCGGUAAUACGAGUGCCUCAAGCGUUAUCCGGAAUCAUUGGGCGUAAAGGGUGUGUAGGCGGUCGUGUUAGUCUCGCGUUAAAUCUUUCGGCUCAACCGAGAGGCUGCGUGGGAAACGGCACGACUAAGAGGACGGAAGAGGUCUCUGGAACUCUAGGUGUAGCGGUGAAAUGCGUUGAUAUCUAGGGGAACACCAAAAGCGAAGGCAAGAGACUGGUCCGCUCCUGACGCUGAAACACGAAAGCGUGGGUCGCGAAUGGGAUUAGAUACCCCCGUAGUCC
Molecule: ribosomal RNA, 428 nt
Filed under: uncultured bacterium
Lineage: Bacteria
Description: bacterial SSU rRNA
Rfam family: Bacterial small subunit ribosomal RNA
Source: RNAcentral